RNAcentral lists this ribosomal RNA (788 nucleotides) under Staphylococcus sp. V1-PCA-E14. RNAcentral's name for it is "bacterial SSU rRNA". It matches the Rfam family "Bacterial small subunit ribosomal RNA", at positions 52 to 825 of the family's 1533-position model. The record is from RNAcentral. Lineage: Bacteria; Bacillati; Bacillota; Bacilli; Caryophanales; Staphylococcaceae.
UAAUGCAGUCGAGCGAACGGAUAAGGAGCUUGCUCCUUUGAAGUUAGCGGCGGACGGGUGAGUAACACGUGGGUAACCUACCUAUAAGACUGGGAUAACUUCGGGAAACCGGAGCUAAUACCGGAUAACAUUUAGAACCGCAUGGUUCUAAAGUGAAAGAUGGUUUUGCUAUCACUUAUAGAUGGACCCGCGCCGUAUUAGCUAGUUGGUAAGGUAACGGCUUACCAAGGCGACGAUACGUAGCCGACCUGAGAGGGUGAUCGGCCACACUGGAACUGAGACACGGUCCAGACUCCUACGGGAGGCAGCAGUAGGGAAUCUUCCGCAAUGGGCGAAAGCCUGACGGAGCAACGCCGCGUGAGUGAUGAAGGGUUUCGGCUCGUAAAACUCUGUUAUUAGGGAAGAACAAAUGUGUAAGUAACUGUGCACAUCUUGACGGUACCUAAUCAGAAAGCCACGGCUAACUACGUGCCAGCAGCCGCGGUAAUACGUAGGUGGCAAGCGUUAUCCGGAAUUAUUGGGCGUAAAGCGCGCGUAGGCGGUUUCUUAAGUCUGAUGUGAAAGCCCACGGCUCAACCGUGGAGGGUCAUUGGAAACUGGGAAACUUGAGUGCAGAAGAGGAAAGUGGAAUUCCAUGUGUAGCGGUGAAAUGCGCAGAGAUAUGGAGGAACACCAGUGGCGAAGGCGACUUUCUGGUCUGUAACUGACGCUGAUGUGCGAAAGCGUGGGGAUCAAACAGGAUUAGAUACCCUGGUAGUCCACGCCGUAACGAUGAGUGCUAAGUGUUA